AACUUUUAGCAACGGAUCACUUGGCUCUCGCAUCGAUGAAGAACGCAGCGAAAUGCGAUACGUAAUGUGAAUUGCAGAAUUCAGUGAAUCAUCCAAUCUUUGAACGCACCUUGCGCCCCUUGGUAUUCCGAGGGGCACACCCGUUUGAGUGUCGUGAACACCCUCAACCUUCUUGGUUUCUCGACCGAGAAGGCUUGGACUUUGGAGGUUAUCCUUGCUGGCCUCCCUUUGAAGCCAGCUCCUCCUAAAUGAAUUAGUGGGGUCCGCUUUGCCGAUCCUUGACGUGAUAAGUAUGCUUCUACGUCUUGGGUUUCGCACUGUUGCCCUGGAACCCGCUUCUAACGGUCUUCGAAGGAAGACGAUGUUCGAGUUGCCUCGCGACUUGACCUCAGUGACCUUGACCUCAAAUCGGGUGAGACUACCCGCUGAACUUAAGCAUAUCAAUAAGCGGAGGCU
RNAcentral lists this unclassified non-coding RNA (456 nucleotides) under uncultured Russula. RNAcentral's name for it is "sequence contains ITS2". The stretch from base 1 to 154 matches the Rfam family "5.8S ribosomal RNA". The record is from RNAcentral. Lineage: Eukaryota; Fungi; Basidiomycota; Agaricomycetes; Russulales; Russulaceae.